UAGGGAAUCUUGCACAAUGGGCGCAAGCCUGAUGCAGCGACGCCGCGUGAGGGAUGAAGGCUUUCGGGUUGUAAACCUCUUUCAGCAGGGACGAAGCCCUUUGGGUGACGGUACCUGCAGAAGAAGCCCCGGCCAACUACGUGCCAGCAGCCGCGGUAAUACGUAGGGGGCGAGCGUUGUCCGGAUUUAUUGGGCGUAAAGAGCUCGUAGGCGGCUCUUCGCGUCGGAUGUGAAAGCUCAAAGCUCAACUUUGAGAGGCCAUUCGAUACGGGAGAGCUAGAGGCAGGUAGGGGAGAGCGGAAUUCCUGGUGUAGCGGUGAAAUGCGCAGAUAUCAGGAGGAACACCGAUGGCGAAGGCAGCUCUCUGGGCCUGUUCUGACGCUGAGGAGCGAAAGCUGGGGGAGCGAACAG
Molecule: ribosomal RNA, 411 nt
Filed under: uncultured bacterium
Lineage: Bacteria
Description: bacterial SSU rRNA
Rfam family: Bacterial small subunit ribosomal RNA
Source: RNAcentral